This 460-nucleotide ribosomal RNA is filed under the name uncultured bacterium. Its description in RNAcentral is "partial 16S ribosomal RNA". It matches the Rfam family "Bacterial small subunit ribosomal RNA", at positions 338 to 795 of the family's 1533-position model. The record is from RNAcentral.
CCUACGGGAGGCAGCAGUGAGGAAUAUUGGUCAAUGGGCGCGAGCCUGAACCAGCCAAGUCGCGUGAGGGAGGACGGCCCUACGGGUUGUAAACCUCUUUUGCCGGGGAGCAACGGGCGCCACGUGUGGCGUCACUGAGAGUACCCGGAGAAAAAGCAUCGCCGAACGCCGUGCCAGCAGCCGCGGGAAUACGGGGGAUGCGAGCGUUAUCCGGAUUUAUUGGGUUUAAAGGGUGCGUAGGGGGAAUGCCAAGUCAGCGGUAAAAUCGCGGGGCUCAACCGCGCCCCGCCGUUGAAACUGGGGUGGGUGAGUGGGCGAGAGGGAUGCGGAAUGCGUGGUGUAGCGGUGAAAUGCAGAGAUAUCACGCAGAACGCCGAUGGCGAAGGCAGCAGGCCGGGGCCCGACUGACGCUGAGGCGCGAAAGCGUGGGUAUCGAACAGGAUUAGAUACCCGAGUAGUC